Molecule: ribosomal RNA, 328 nt
Filed under: uncultured bacterium
Lineage: Bacteria
Description: bacterial SSU rRNA
Rfam family: Bacterial small subunit ribosomal RNA
Source: RNAcentral
GACGAACGCUGGCGGCGUGCCUAACACAUGCAAGUCGAACGGGGCAGAGAGCUUCGGUUUUCUGCUUAGUGGCGAACGGGUGAGUAACGCGUGAAGAACCUGCCUUUCAGUGGGGGACAACAGUUGGAAACGACUGCUAAUACCGCAUGACACUGAUGAGGGGCAUCCCUUAUCAGUCAAAGCUUUAAGUGCUGAAAGAUGGCUUCGCGUCUGAUUAGCUAGAUGGUGGGGUAACGGCCCACCAUGGCGACGAUCAGUAGCCGGUCUGAGAGGAUGAACGGCCACAUUGGGACUGAGAUACGGCCCAGACUCCUACGGGAGCAGCAGU